Micropterus salmoides (largemouth bass) is the source of this 616-nucleotide long non-coding RNA. RefSeq lists it as uncharacterized. Lineage: Eukaryota; Metazoa; Chordata; Actinopteri; Centrarchiformes; Centrarchidae. The record is from RefSeq and is a predicted model, not a curated record. The transcript is spliced from 3 exons.
GCCACCAGGCUUAUCCAGAUGGGUAAGAUGAAACUCUGACUCCCUCUGGGUCUAAGAUGACGGACAGAGGAAUCUCAGGGCCAUAACCCUCCAAAUCCAUGAGAUACUGCAGGCCUCUGCCCCGGCUCCGCACAUCCAAAAUCCAUCGUAUUACAUAAGCAGGUUGUUCAACAUGUGGAAGAUAUUUUUGGUGGUAUUCGAUGCACUUACUAAACUUUGGGUAACACUAAUUAAGGAUGAGAUGCAGACGGGAAUUCCCAGUUGCCAAACCGGUAUCCUGGUAAAGAGAGAAAGUGAAAGAUAGAUGUACUGUUUUGGAAUUUCUUCCCAAAAGUCCGAGGUGCGAGGUGAACAGUGACAGCCUGCUGUCUUGGAAGGAGCUGGAAAGAGGUGAGCAGAGGCCGACACCUGGUCCAGGGAAGCCCAGCAGACGGUCCAGAGACAAGCUGCUGUGGCCAGCGAGACGCCGGGAGACAGACUGCACUGCACUCAGACUCUACUGACAUAACAACAACUACACACAGCACUGACCAACAGGAAACUACUGACCAACACUCCUCCAUUAAAUGAAGCCAAUGCAGAGAAGCUAAAACAGGAGAAAUGUGAUCUCUUUUCC